RNAcentral lists this microRNA precursor (89 nucleotides) under Medicago truncatula (barrel medic). RNAcentral describes it as "miR5295b stem-loop (mtr-MIR5295b)". Lineage: Eukaryota; Viridiplantae; Streptophyta; Magnoliopsida; Fabales; Fabaceae. The record is from miRBase by way of RNAcentral.
UUACUUUUAUUUUCUUUGUUGUCGUUUCCAGGGCCGUCCCUAAGAAUUCGGAGGCUCGGCUCUGGGAAUGAAAAGAGGCCAGUGAUAAA